UUACGUGAACGUAUAUAUAAUCAUAAUAUUAUUUUAAACGUUCCUAAAGGCCUUUCUAUGAAUAUUCAUUCUUAAUAAAUAAUGUAACUUUUGUGAUGGCCAUGAUUGAUUUAAUUAAAUGGCACACCUCAAUCUAUUGGUAGUAGAUACUACUUAUUUUAAAAGAAAAAGUCCAAGAUGUCGGGUUCACUAUAGAUUAAGAUUCAAAUUACCCUUACUAAUUAUAAGCUCAUAUGAGAUAAAACGAGACAUUAUAGUCCAAGAAAUACCUGAAGAUCAAAGAAAAAAAAAAGAGAAAUCAAGCAGUUCAGUGGAGUCAAUCAAGUAAAGAAGCAACAACAACUAGUCAACAAACCACUUCAGCUCAUACUCUAACUCAAAAAACAAAUACCCAAUGAAACCUUUUCAAAGUUCUUCGUUAAGAAAAGAAAAUCAGAAAACCCAGCCAUUUCCAAUGAAAUAGUGCAGAGAACAUUUGUAGUCUUUUAGGGUCUAAGUCUAUUCCUUUUUUUGAGUGAGAGAGGAUCUAUAUAUAGAACUUUUUGAUGCUAUGUACUGCUGAAAAUAGAAUGAAAAUUAUUCCCUCACUCAAGCAUCUUUUUUAACUACCUGGAUAGCUGGCUAUCCCUUAUUGGCUCAGCAUUUUUGUGCUAAUCCAAUGGGGCCAGCUGACACAAGUUUUAGAACCUUCCUAGAUACCUUCUAACCCAAAGUUGGAGUUAUAUCUUUCCCCAGCCCCCAUAAGUUCUUCCUUAUACCAUUGAACCCUCCACAAUUUUAAUUUCUUAUAAGUUAAAAGUAACAAACCAAAAAAAAUUGGCAUAAUUUGACUGAUUGAAAUUACCAAAUCCUUAGUGACCGACUCUUGAAUUAACUUUUAACUUAAAUAAUUUUAUUACUAAGAGAAAUCAGGAAUAACACACCAUUUGAACAAAUAAAACCAGUAUUAACAUCUUCUAAUGAUUGAACUAUCCCUGAGGCUCAAACCUUCUGAAUUAAAUAACACACGGCCAUUAGCAAAUAAUCACACUACAAUGAGAGAGAGAGAGAGAGAUUAGCAUGCUAAUUCCAAACGAGUCUGCUUAAACAUGAACUUAACACAUCUAGAUAAACCUAACCAAAUAGAAACUGAAGAUUUAACAAUAUUGAUAGAAGAUUCAUGAACUAACCUUAAGAUACUGGCUAACAACAAUGAAAAACAUAGAAAAAAAAUAAUCCUAAAAUGCUAAAAGCCUUAAAUUAUGCAACUAAACAGUCAUGAAGUCAUAAAAACUCAAGAGAAAGGGGAAGAAAAUAAUAGAGGGACACAAACAAGAUAAAAUAAUAAAGAAAUACCUAUGUUCGCUCCAAAUGGAAUCAACUAAGAACUCAAUACGACGUUAAACAAAUGAAGUGAACCUUUAACAAUCAUUAAUCGACUGUCCUUAAUAAGGAAUCAUCGAUUAAUGACAGUUUAGGGUUCGCUCGACCACAUGCUCACGAAGAAAGGAAAAAGAGGGAAAACCUAAAUCUUUUUCAGAACCCUUGCUUCAGCGUUGAUGGUCUUGGGGCUGAUUUGCGAGGAAACUAAAGCAUAUUCGGGGAGAGGGAGGGUGAGGGAUUGCAUGGUGUAAGUUUGGGGUUGUUUGGGCGACUUACACUUUUGGGAUUCUGAGUAUAGAUCCGAAAUUCGAGAUUUUUUAGGGUGAUUUUGGGAAACAGAUUAGGAGAUUCAAAAAGAGGAAGGAAAUGGGAUUAUAUGGUGUUAAUUUGGAGGGGGUCAGAGUGGUUUACACCGUCGCCGCAGGCAGAGAUGAUGGAGGUUUCAGGGGUGGCAGGCUUUAGGGUUUGGAUUGAGAGAGAUGAAAGAGUGAGAGGGGUUUUACUG
Molecule: long non-coding RNA, 1867 nt
Filed under: Nicotiana benthamiana
Lineage: Eukaryota; Viridiplantae; Streptophyta; Magnoliopsida; Solanales; Solanaceae
Description: long non-coding RNA (NBEN_LNC034711)
Source: RNAcentral